RNAcentral lists this ribosomal RNA (484 nucleotides) under uncultured bacterium. RNAcentral describes it as "partial 16S ribosomal RNA". It matches the Rfam family "Bacterial small subunit ribosomal RNA", at positions 28 to 507 of the family's 1533-position model. The record is from RNAcentral.
GAUGAACGCUGGCGGCGUGCUUAACACAUGCAAGUCGAACGGGAUCUAGGAAGUGCUUGCACUUUUUGGUGAGAGUGGCGAACGGGUGAGUAACACGUGAGUAACCUGUCCUUUUCUUUGGGAUAAGCUCCUGAAAGGGUGUUUAAUACCUUAUGUUCUGCCUGCCUCGCAUGGGGUGGGUGGGAACGAUUUUUUCGGUGAAGGGUGGGCUGGCGUUGUAUCAGCGUGUUGGUGGGGUGUUGGCUUACAAAGGCUUUGACGGGUAGUCAGCGUGAGAGGGGCGUCGGGGGUAUCGGGACUGAGAGGCGGCGCAGAAUGCUGCAGGAGGCAGCAGUGGGCAGUAGUGGACAAUAGGCGCAAGCCUGAUGAAGCGAGGUGGCGUGGGGGAGGAAGGGCGACGGGUUGUAAACUGCUUUUGCCCUGAACAGGGCGCACCAUGGGGUGUGUUGAGUGUAGGGGUAGAUUAGCGCCGGCUAACUACGUG